This 164-nucleotide ribosomal RNA is filed under the name uncultured bacterium. RNAcentral's name for it is "partial 16S ribosomal RNA". It matches the Rfam family "Bacterial small subunit ribosomal RNA", at positions 355 to 510 of the family's 1533-position model. The record is from RNAcentral.
UAGGGAAUCUUCCACAAUGGACGAAAGUCUGAUGGAGCAACGCCGCGUGAGUGAAGAAGGGUUUCGGCUCGUAAAACUCUGUUGUUAAAGAAGAACAUAUCUGAGAGUAACUGUUCAGGUAUUGACGGUAUUUAACCAGAAAGCCACGGUCUAACUACGUGCCA